AGACAGCAGGACGGUGGUCAUG
RNAcentral lists this small nuclear RNA (22 nucleotides) under Arabidopsis thaliana (thale cress). RNAcentral's name for it is "snRNA_14935". Lineage: Eukaryota; Viridiplantae; Streptophyta; Magnoliopsida; Brassicales; Brassicaceae. The record is from RNAcentral.